RNAcentral lists this signal recognition particle RNA (99 nucleotides) under Spirochaetota bacterium. Its description in RNAcentral is "Spirochaetes bacterium signal recognition particle sRNA small type". It matches the Rfam family "Bacterial small signal recognition particle RNA". Rfam says of the family: The signal recognition particle (SRP) is a universally conserved ribonucleoprotein involved in the co-translational targeting of proteins to membranes. Archaeal SRP consists of a 7S RNA and homologues of the eukaryotic SRP19 and SRP54 proteins. In most bacteria, the SRP consists of a 4.5S RNA and the Ffh protein (a homologue of the eukaryotic SRP54 protein). Lineage: Bacteria; Pseudomonadati; Spirochaetota. The record is from RNAcentral.
AGUCAGGUUCUGUGCUAUCGAUUGUCGCCCAACCCCGUCAGGACUGGAAGGUAGCAGCGGUAAGUGAUUAAUUGAUGAGACACAGUCUACUUGACUGGA